AGGUAAUAGCCAACCUGUUCCAUAUUUCUAUGCCUCAAUGCCAAUGAUAGGUUUUUACCUAAUCAUGUAUAUACCGCUAAUAUCAAGCCACAAUGUCACCUUGGGUUAAACCUUGUUUAACUACUUUCUUUAACACUAGGUUCAUAUCCAACCUAUAUUCUUUAACGCUGGAUUAAAUGCCACACCUGAUUCCAACCUAUGUUCUUUAACACUAGGUUCAAUGUCACUUGAUGUCCAACCUAUGUAUAUUCACACUAGGUUCAUAUGUCCUUCAUGUCCGACCUAGGUUUACUAACACUAGGUUCAUAUCAUUCAUGUUCAACCUAUGUUCAAGACACUAGGUUUAA
RNAcentral lists this long non-coding RNA (347 nucleotides) under Ananas comosus (pineapple). RNAcentral's name for it is "long non-coding RNA (ACOM_LNC034424)". The record is from RNAcentral. Lineage: Eukaryota; Viridiplantae; Streptophyta; Magnoliopsida; Poales; Bromeliaceae.